GGGCUAUUUUGGAGUUUAGCUAGUAAUUAAGCAACGAGAUAGUUUUUUUUUUUUUCUUCUCUUAGUUGGCAUCUACUGAGGUUGAUUUAUGCUAAUUUGGAGUUUAGCUAAUAUUUUGGCAGUUUGCUAACGUUUUUGGCUAAUUUGGCACCUGCUAAGAUUUUUAGGCUAAUUUUGAGUUUAGCUUCUGCUUUACCAAAAUGCUAACAUUUUUUUUGACAAAAUUAGUUUACUGACGACUUCUAGGCUAUUUUGGAGUUUAGCUAGUAAUUAAGCAACGAGAUCGUUUUUUUUUCUUCUCUUAGUUGGCAUCUACUGAGGUUAAUUUAUGCUAAUUUGGAGUUUAGCUAAUAUUUUUGGCAGUUUGCUAACGUUUUUGGCUAAUUUAGCACCUGCUUAGAUUUUUAGACUAAUUUUGAGUUUAGCUUCUGUUUUAGCAACAUGCUAACAUUAUUUUUGACAAAAUUAGUUUACUGACGACUUCUAGGCUAUUUUGGAGUUUAGCUAGUAUUUAAGCAAUGAGCUCACUUUUUUGCUCAACACUAAAUAUUUUGCUAAAUUGUCACGUAUUAGGGAUUUUUAGGCCAUUUUACUAAAAAUGUUUCCAGAAAUUUAGGUCACUUCAGCAUUCUUUCAUAGUUCUUUAAAGAAAUUGCCAGUUUUUGCAUUUUCAGUAAAUGCCUUCAACAAUUAAAGUAAAUAGCCUCACCAUUUUCAUCAAGAAGCUUCAGCAACUAUUUUCAGCAAAAGCAUUCCCACUAACAUUAUCGCAGGUGAUGCAUCUUUUCUGAUUCUUAAAUGAGUUGGACCUGCAGCUAAUUUGUCUCACUUCAGCAUGCUCUGCUCCUUCUCCUCCUCCUUCUUCUGUCGCUCCAUGACCGAGAGGAUGAUGCGCCGCUCCUCCUCGGUCAGGUGGCUCAGGUCCGGCAGGUCUGACCCGGUCCCGGUCCCGGUCCCGGUCCAGCCCCGGCGGGCGGCGCAGGUCCGGCCGCUCGAGACAUCCUCGGAACCGCUGGAAGAGACGGACGCGGGCGGUCAGACCGUCACACCGCUGCUGAGGCGGGAUGAUGGUGCGCGUGCGGCGCCGCGCGAGCCCCGCGGAAGGAGCUCCAUCUGCGCCUCCGCCCGCCAUCAUAUCACCCACCGGUUUAUCCCCUCAUCCAUCCAUCAUCUAUGCAUCAUCCACACCCUCCCUCUCUCUCACCGACAGGCGCAGCGGUGUCCUCUUGCCUGUUUAUUCUGCAGUCAUGUCGCCUCCUCCGGUGUUCGGCGGCGGCGGCGGCGGCUCCGGUCGGCUCCGCGUCCCGGCGCUCAUCCUUCCACCCCCCCCACGCGCCCCGCCUCCGCUGUGGCGCUACCCCGCCGCGGGUCGUCGAGUCGUGUCGGCGGCGGUGGUGGUUCGUGGGAGAGCGGCGGAGACGGAGGAGAAAAUAAAUAAAUCCUCCAUAGAAAAAGGGGCGGGGCCACGCGGUGACGGCGUUACGUACGACAAAGAUCAGCAGGUCGUUGACGGGUGGGCGAUGGCGGUGGA
This 1531-nucleotide long non-coding RNA is filed under the name Oryzias javanicus (javanese ricefish). RNAcentral's name for it is "lncRNA (ENSOJAG00000015034.1)". Lineage: Eukaryota; Metazoa; Chordata; Actinopteri; Beloniformes; Adrianichthyidae. The record is from RNAcentral.